GAACAUUUCCCUGUCCGCCUGUUAGUGUUUAUUUCUUCCCCUUCUCCUCCUGGGAGCCGACACCUCCCAGCCCUCACCUUUCACACGCUGCUCUCCCUUCCUUGCCUCCAUCCCUCCCGUCACCCCUCUCCCUCCUCCUCCUCCUUUCCCAGCUCAGCAGCGGAGAUUUCUGUUUGUGCCAGUGGGGCGGCCUGGCGAGACCGCAAUUGCUCUACCCCACAGAUUGACGAGCCCUCAGAUGCCGAUUUACUGUACAUGGCAGCCACGCUGGAGCCGAGGCACAUCUGGAGUGGAGUAAGCUUACUCAGAAACAGGGGCCAGCUCCAGCCGGAGCCAGCGGAGCCGAGCGCGGCACUUGAAGGCAGCCCUCCUGCCUCCCUUCCCUCUCCCCGGCAAAAUGAUAAAGUUUGCAGUUUAGUUGUUCAGAUGACACUCAAGUGACAAGCAUGCAAUUUAAAAAGGGUUUUCCCACACGUUGUUCCACACAACCCAAAAGAUGUUGCAGUGAGUAAAGGAGAGAAAAU
Molecule: long non-coding RNA, 524 nt
Filed under: Numida meleagris (helmeted guineafowl)
Lineage: Eukaryota; Metazoa; Chordata; Aves; Galliformes; Numididae
Description: lncRNA (ENSNMEG00000013632.1)
Source: RNAcentral